UCGCCCCCACAUUCUGCAGUCGGGGCUUGAGCUCCGAAGUUGGCAGAAGUGCCCCUGGCAGCAGCAUCCCAGCUGCAGCUCAGGCUUCUCACAAGCUGAGGUGCUGUGCGGGGAGGUUCCUUGUGCUGAUUUACGGCAAAAAGUUACGAACCACCUUGGCUGCAAAGUCAUCGUGUGUAAGUUAUUGACGAACCUAAUGAAAACUGGUAGAGCUGCUCGCCUUGCUGGGGGAAUUGUUUGGCCUUCAGUGCUGCCAGCGAGGACAAUACUGGCACGGGGAGCAGUGUGUAAAGCAGCCAUUAGGAAGGCUGGAAUCGGAUUUCCAGGAGAGACUGACUGCAAAAAGAGAGACAGGACGGAGAGGGGGCAUGGCAGCUGGCAGGGGAUGGCUGCUGGCUGCGCUGAGCGGUGGCACAGAAGCUCCCCUCAAACCCAGAAGAAAUAACCCAGAGAAGCUGUUAGAUUUCAGGGUAAAUUUACAGAAAGAUAUAAUCUUGUAAUUAAGGGAUGAUCUUGAGCUGCAAUAACCAUGAAUUCAUACAGUGUUACUGCCUACAUGGUAUUUUUCCACACAGUAAUUACUUUUCUGUAAUAAUUCUGUUUUCUGCCAGGGGUAAGGAAACCACUGC
Cygnus atratus (black swan) is the source of this 629-nucleotide long non-coding RNA. RefSeq lists it as uncharacterized. NCBI's taxonomy places the organism in Eukaryota, Metazoa, Chordata, Aves, Anseriformes, Anatidae. The record is from RefSeq and is a predicted model, not a curated record. The transcript is spliced from 2 exons.